UACGGAGAAUCCAAGCGUUAUCCGGAUUUAUUGGGUUUAAAGGGUGCGUAGGCGGAUUGAUAAGUUAGAGGUGAAAUGUCCGAGCUCAACUCGGGAACUGCCUCUAAUACUGUUGAUCUAGAGAGUAGAUGCGGUAGGCGGAAUGUAUGGUGUAGCGGUGAAAUGCUUAGAGAUCAUACAGAACACCGAUUGCGAAGGCAGCUUACCAAUCUAUAUCUGACGUUGAGGCACGAAAGCGUGGGGAGCAAACAGG
RNAcentral lists this ribosomal RNA (253 nucleotides) under uncultured bacterium. RNAcentral describes it as "partial 16S ribosomal RNA". It matches the Rfam family "Bacterial small subunit ribosomal RNA", at positions 524 to 776 of the family's 1533-position model. The record is from RNAcentral.